AAAAGAGAGAUUAAUCGUUUAAAUGAGUGGCUGGUUGCAGAAAGUAGGUCCCUACUUGGCCAUAUAUCUAUGGGCUUCUAUGCUUGUUCUGUCACUUGUCACGGUGACCUUGUUAUUGAAGGUAUCAUUAGUUGAUUUCAUCAUAUUGUCCGUAAAUUGAAUCCUACGUUCUCUUCCUUUACAACUCUAACCUUGGAAAAGUCUUAGUUUAACGUACUUUUAAUUAAUUUGUAUGUAUAACGGCUAAUGUUAUUCCAAAUAAAUCGUUGUGUUGGCAGAUAUCUGGUUAUCUACCUAUAGUGAUAAAUUUUGUCUGAAUGAUGUAUGUAUAUAAAGUCAUAUAUGAUAAAAGUUGAUUGAUUUCUUGAGGUGGAUACAUAAUAGUUAGCUUUAAACUUUGUUCAAGUGUGUUCAUAUGCCUGGGAUUGACCAUCUUGUUCCAAAACUUAAAAAGCCCCUUUCAGAUUCAGAAUUUUGAUCCUAUUGCAACUUGAUAACUCUGGAAUAUGAAUUUGUAAAUAAUUUAGAUUUAGAAAUCCUCAACAGCAAGUAGAGAAUGUAAAUUAGAAUACCUAAAACCCUCUUAUUGGAGUCCAAUGAGGCUUUUUUGUACUACACUUUUCAAAUUUUUAGCAUAAUUGGUGAAGUUUACGACUUUGUAACUUUUCACUUGUCGUCCUUCUUUACUCUGGAUAUCACAAAAUUACUUAUUAUUUCCUAUUUUAUCUUGAUAUGUCUCCUAAGUUCUGCAGGAUGUGUUCAAUCUACUUCCGUAUUUCAACGUGUUUGAACUAAUUAAAGUUGUUUUAGGUAAAUUAGCUGGUGGUCAAUUGUUAUUUACAUUUUUUCUCCUUGUUGACAACUGCAUUCUGCAUUAGGAUUCAUGUGGCCUACAUAUUAAUAUUCCUGGGCACCAAGUAGCAUUAACAUGAACGUGAAAGCAUUUUCUUCAAAUAUAUAGUGUUUUUUCUCCUUAAAUUUGAAUUCUAAUUGCUUCAUUUGAAUAAAUUGAAGCAUCAAGUAGGUAGUAGCACGUACUCAUUGAAGCCUCAAAGUGGAAAGUUGAAAGUAUUGUUCAACUCUUUUUUUUUUUUUUUUUCAUGAAUUUCAAUUACAAAUUCCUUGUCCGAGUUAACUGCAGCAUCAAGUAAAUAUUAAUACGAGCCACAAAAGAAGGAUUGGAAAUUUAGCUUGUGUGUUGUUUCCUGAACUUCAAUUGCAUUUAAUCUAAUUAAGUGAUUCUUUUUGACACUGAAUUGUGAAGUCAACAUUACUAUAGACAUAAAAGUUGGACUGGCUUGAGACAUCACGUUUCAACAAUGAUCAUUUCCUUCAGAACUUAAAGAGUAGGUGAACAUUUAUAAAUUAGUGAAAUAAGAUUUUUAAGGAUGUUAAUAAUUUUUUAUUGAUUUCUCUUGGCUCUUGCAUCUAUUAUUAUGAGUACUAUUUUUUCAAGAACAUUGUUUCAUAAAUAAUUCGGCUAAAACUGGCUUCUUGCAGGGUUUUCUCCUGAAUGUAACUCCAUGUCAGUGGAUGUAAUAUGGAAAGCAUUUUAGGCAACAGAAGAGGGAUAUAUCGGUGGUUACUAAAAAAUGGUCAAUGAAAUCGCAAUUGGCUAAUAUUAGUUCCUGUUGACUGGUGGGUGAGAUUUGUGAUGGUAUUCUUUACAUUGCUAAUCUUGGUGAUUUCCGACAAGUGUCAGGAAGAGUUGUUAGAGCAACUGGAGAAGUUCUUGCUAUCUAGCUGUCGGUUGAAUAUAAUGCUAGCAUAGAGUCAGUCAGACAGGCGUUGCAUUCUAUGGACCCAGUCACCCGAAUGACUUAAAGAUAGUAGUUCUUAAACAUAAUGUGCAGUGUGUGAAGGCUUGAUACAGGUCUGUUCUUUGCAUAGUUGGAAUGGGGUCCAAAUGCAUAAUUGAUUACAUUUCCAUGGAAGAAUUGACAACAUAAAUUGGCAUACGAUAAUGAUGCGACAUUACUUUAGUAGAUUCUUAUAAAAUGUUGUACAAUGGUGAAAAUUAGUUGAGCAUUUGUUGAAUUAUGUAACCUAAGCAACUAUCAUCCAACAUUACAAAGGUCGAUUUUUCUUCGUUCGCAAAGAGCCAACAUCCAAGUAGUCUCCUUUGGUUCUGGUAAUUCACUAUCAAAAUGGUGGGAUAUGAUAGAGAUGAAUAUGAAAUUUAGAUCAGUAACAGGAUGGAGAGGAGCACGAGGAAUAGGGCUAUGAAGGUGUGUGCAAGCGAAUGGGAAUACGACUACGAAAAAUAUUAGCUAUCAUCUCGCAACUAAGCGAUAAGUGGGUCUUUAGGCUUCUACGAAAUCAUGCUUACGUAUCUUUCAUGCUUGUUUGCAGUUGUUUGUUGUCAUAUUUCUUUUAAUUUAUUUUCCUUUUUCCAAAGUGAAAUACACUUGAUUUUUAUUUAUAUAGAUUUUCCAACAAUAACACAAUGACCAUGUAAUGAAGAUGCAUCCAUCAGAUGUUCAUAGCUUAGACAAGUUGAUUAGAGACAAGCACAAGAUGCUUCACAUGUUGCUGCCCUUGUCCUAAAUGACACUCUAAUGUAAUUUUUUCUCUCUCUCUUUUUCUUUUUUA
Olea europaea var. sylvestris is the source of this 2592-nucleotide long non-coding RNA. RefSeq lists it as uncharacterized. The transcript is spliced from 3 exons. The record is from RefSeq and is a predicted model, not a curated record. Lineage: Eukaryota; Viridiplantae; Streptophyta; Magnoliopsida; Lamiales; Oleaceae.